Molecule: long non-coding RNA, 1116 nt
Organism: Solea senegalensis (Senegalese sole)
Lineage: Eukaryota; Metazoa; Chordata; Actinopteri; Pleuronectiformes; Soleidae
Exons: 2
Source: RefSeq, a predicted model, not a curated record
UUAAUUCUUGUAGGAACAAGGUUUUUUUUUAUUAUUAUUUCAUGUUUAAAAAGCCAUUCCAUCUCAUUGAACUCAUAUCAAUCUGAAAAAUGUGGGUCCACAGUUUGAAAUAGACAAGUGUUUUGGUUUUCACCUUAGUAACGUUGGACCAAUGUUAGACUAUUAACUCAUUUGACAGUCAAUGCAAUAGGUGCAAUUAAGACAGUGUACUACUAGCUGCAUUUCCACUUUCCACUUUGUUGUACAAAAGCAGUAACUGCAUACAUUCAAAACAACAAUAAAUACAAAUGUAGCCCGGGCUAAAAUAACAUUAGGUUGUAAAUAAGUUUAUCUGUUCAAUAACUAAAUAAAUAAAUACAUAAUAAAUAAGUUAUUUUCAUUGAAAAGGUAAAUUUGACUGUGAUUCAUAAGUUUGUAAUAUUAUUUGUAACUAUUUCUUUUCAUUUGUCAUACAUUUCUGUAAAGCUUGUCAAUUGGUUGCCUGCUCCUCUGUCAUAACAGUCGUCCAAUCGUGAGAUACCGGGGUGGGACAUGCAGUUGGCAGGUUAGAUCUAUAUGGAUAGACUGAGAGGACGUCAGAUUGACGACAUGGGUGAUUUGCUGUAAUGCCAGAGUAUUGUUCUCUUGCCAGGAUAGAUGCAGGGUUUGUCAACGGUACAUGGACAUACAAAAGAGUACAGGACCAGAAUAAAGUUCUUGGACCUUGUUUGCCCUCGGAGCACUGAGCUCCAGGUAUCGGCAGUGAGUGAGAAGCUACUGGGUCAAGGCCGCGGUCACGGGUUUUCUGUUUCACACACACACCACACGCUAACUGAGGACGGACAGUGUGAGCAACCCAAUUGCAGGUGCAGUUAUUUAUUUUUAUUUUACUUAUCUGAGUGAAGCGGUCACUGAGCUUUGACCUCACUGAAUCCGAGCAUCGAAUCGGGCCUGCAUCUUUUUUUAUUUCAAAGACUCUUUAGAUUUUAAGUAUGGUGUGAAUAUAAUCAUUGGUUUGGCCAUUGAACUGUUUUUUUAUUUCAAAAAUAUGAAUGUUGCUGAAAGAUCUGUGAAAAUAUGUGAACACGUAACAAGUGCUAAGCUUGGGUUGUGUGUAAUACACUUAUGUUAUUUUAA